UGAUAUUUUUUCUCUUUGGAAUGUCUUUC
This 29-nucleotide non-coding RNA is filed under the name Mus musculus (house mouse). Lineage: Eukaryota; Metazoa; Chordata; Mammalia; Rodentia; Muridae. The record is from RNAcentral.